Molecule: ribosomal RNA, 254 nt
Filed under: uncultured bacterium
Lineage: Bacteria
Description: partial 16S ribosomal RNA
Rfam family: Bacterial small subunit ribosomal RNA
Source: RNAcentral
UACGGAGGGUGCGAGCGUUGUCCGGAAUCAUUGGGCGUAAAGGGCGCGUAGGUGGCCCCCUCAAGCGUGCGGUGAAAGUCAGGGGCUCAACCCCUGAUCGGCCGUGCGAACUGGGGAGCUUGAGCACUGUAGAGGCAGGCGGAAUUCCGGGUGGAGUGGUGAAAUGCGUAGAGAUCCGGAGGAACACCAAAGGCGAAGGCAGUGUCCUGGGGAGUACCUGACGCUCAGGUGCGAAAGCCAGGGGAGCGAACGGG